UUGGAGGAGUUUGAUCCUGGCGCAGAUUGAACGCUGGCGGCAGGCCUAACACAUGCAAGUCGAGCGGAUGAGAGGAGCUUGCUCCUUGAUUUAGCGGCGGACGGGUGAGUAAUGCCUAGGAAUCUGCCUGGUAGUGGGGGAUAACGUUCCGAAAGGAACGCUAAUACCGCAUACGUCCUACGGGAGAAAGCAGGGGACCUUCGGGCCUUGCGCUAUCAGAUGAGCCUAGGUCGGAUUAGCUAGUUGGUGAGGUAAUGGCUCACCAAGGCGACGAUCCGUAACUGGUCUGAGAGGAUGAUCAGUCACACUGGAACUGAGACACGGUCCAGACUCCUACGGGAGGCAGCAGUGGGGAAUAUUGGACAAUGGGCGAAAGCCUGAUCCAGCCAUGCCGCGUGUGUGAAGAAGGUCUUCGGAUUGUAAAGCACUUUAAGUUGGGAGGAAGGGCAUUAACCUAAUACGUUAGUGUUU
RNAcentral lists this ribosomal RNA (471 nucleotides) under Pseudomonas nitroreducens. RNAcentral describes it as "bacterial SSU rRNA". It matches the Rfam family "Bacterial small subunit ribosomal RNA", at positions 1 to 470 of the family's 1533-position model. Lineage: Bacteria; Pseudomonadati; Pseudomonadota; Gammaproteobacteria; Pseudomonadales; Pseudomonadaceae. The record is from RNAcentral.